RNAcentral lists this long non-coding RNA (421 nucleotides) under Pan troglodytes (chimpanzee). RNAcentral's name for it is "long non-coding RNA NONPTRT005810". Lineage: Eukaryota; Metazoa; Chordata; Mammalia; Primates; Hominidae. The record is from RNAcentral.
GGAAAAAAUGCCUGGAAGGAGACAUGCUGAUGGGCCAGUAGUUCCUUCUGGGGAGUGAAGCAGACUGGGGAGAGCAGCAGGAAGAGGAGAGGAGUGAUUUAAUUUUGCUAACACUGACUGAGCUUCUGCUUACUGAUGUUAACAUCUGGGCAGCCAAAGUCGUCGCCCACCACACAGAGGAAGGAGGAGAAACACCAGGCCAUCUGAGAACCCAUCCACAUGCAUAUACUGAUGAAUCAAAGCGUACUGCGUAAAAAGAGGCUUCCAAGAUUAAUCAAGGUUUAUUUUUUAGGUCCUGAAUCUCUCAGGAUGUCUGAUAAAAAGCUGGGCCCUUUCUCCAAAAAAAAAUACACUUACAAAGAGCUUGCACGCCAUUUCCAAAGGCCCUCUGAACCCCAUCUAUGGGGCCUUUUGAGUCACA